Molecule: ribosomal RNA, 264 nt
Filed under: uncultured bacterium
Lineage: Bacteria
Description: partial 16S ribosomal RNA
Rfam family: Bacterial small subunit ribosomal RNA
Source: RNAcentral
UUUUGCUUGCAAACUAAAGAUGGCGACCGGCGCACGGGUGAGUAACACGUAUCCAACCCGCCGAUAACUCGGGGAUAGCCUUUCGAAAGAAAGAUUAAUAUCCGAUAGUAUAUUAAAACCGCAUGGUUUUACUAUUAAAGAAUUUCGGUUAUCGAUGGGGAUGCGUUCCAUUAGUUUGUUGGCGGGGUAACGGCCCACCAAGACUACGAUGGAUAGGGGUUCUGAGAGGAAGGUCCCCCACAUUGGAACUGAGACACGGUCCAA